RNAcentral lists this ribosomal RNA (279 nucleotides) under uncultured bacterium. RNAcentral describes it as "partial 16S ribosomal RNA". It matches the Rfam family "Bacterial small subunit ribosomal RNA", at positions 506 to 784 of the family's 1533-position model. The record is from RNAcentral.
UGCCAGCCGCCGCGGUAAUACGAAGGUGGCGAGCGUUGUUCGGAUUUACUGGGCAUAAAGGGCGUGUAGGCGGCCUGAUAAGCGGAGUGUGAAAGCCCGGGGCUCAACCCCGGAACUGCAUUCCGAACUGUCGGGCUAGAGGACAGGAGGGGGGUCUGGAACUCUAGGUGGAGCGGUGAAAUGCGUAGAUAUCUAGAGGAACGCCGGUGGCGAAAGCGAGGCCCUGGCCUGUCCCUGACGCUGAGGCGCGAAAGCGUGGGUAGCAAACAGGAUUAGAUA